This 367-nucleotide ribosomal RNA is filed under the name Stramenopiles sp. MAST-6. Its description in RNAcentral is "partial small subunit ribosomal RNA". It matches the Rfam family "Eukaryotic small subunit ribosomal RNA", at positions 582 to 975 of the family's 1831-position model. The record is from RNAcentral.
AUUCCAGCUCCAAUAGCGUAUAUUAAAGUUGUUGCAGUUAAAAAGCUCGUAGUUGGAUUUCUGGCGGGAGCGGCCUGUCCUGCCCUUUGCGGGGUUGAGCACAAGCGCUUCUGGCAUUCAGUUGUCGGACUCGGGAUCCGCAUCGUUUACUGUGAAAAAAUUAGAGUGUUUAAAGCAGGCAUUUGCUUGAAUACAUUAGCAUGGAAUAAUAAGAUAGGACUUAGUCGUUAUUUUGUUGGUCUUGCACGUCUAGGUAAUGAUUAAUAGGGAUAGUUGGGGGUAUUCAUAUUUAAUUGUCAGAGGUGAAAUUCUUGGAUUUAUGAAAGAUGAACUUAUGCGAAAGCAUUUACCAUGGAUGUUUUCAUCA